AUGGCGGAGGAACCGUCCGCCAAACGUUACCAUGGCGACACUUCGAACAAGAGCAGCAACCUCGCCGACGUUCACGUCCCCGGCGAGAAGCACGAGUACACCGGAACGCUCAAAGGGGUUGAGCUCCACGGCAAGGAGACGCUGGAGAUCGUCUGCACCAGCGAACCGGACAAGGCCGACCAGAUGAUGAAAAAUGUGUGUCUCCCCCCUUGUAGGCCCAAGCGCCUCAAAGACUUCCUGCAGGAGGAGAAAUUGUACACGUUUGUUGGUUUCAGCAUUGGAGGUGACAAGCGGAAGCUUGGAAAGUCUGGCUUGGAAAUCAACCCCAACAAC
This 333-nucleotide ribosomal RNA is filed under the name Triticum aestivum (bread wheat). RNAcentral describes it as "partial small subunit ribosomal RNA". Lineage: Eukaryota; Viridiplantae; Streptophyta; Magnoliopsida; Poales; Poaceae. The record is from RNAcentral.